AGAGACGUGCUUUCGAACACGCCUGGUGCACCUGCAAAGGCAGCAGGACAGAUAAUUUGGUCAUCAUGGCCCACAUCUACGUCUGCCGCCACGGCCAGGAUAUGGACAAUGUGCACGGCAUUUUAAAUGGGCACCGCAAUCAGCCGCUUUCUGAGCUGGGCCGUCGGCAGGCUGCAGCUGUCGCCGACAAGAUCAAGGAGAGCGGUGUCAACUAUGCCGCCAUCUACUCCUCUCCGUUGCAGCGCGCUCUCGAGACGGCGUCGGCGAUCGGUGCCGCCGUGAACGUACAGGUGCAGGUGCGUGCCGACCUAAUCGAACGCGACUUCGGCGUCUUGUCGGGAAAGCCGUACGCUGACAUACCCAAGUACGCUGGUGAUAGAGUGCUGCAGGGAGACAAGGUUCUGUACUUUCUCGAAGUCGAAGGCUGUGAGACCUUCGACAAGUGCUACGAACGGGCGCAGAGCGUGCUUGCGGACGUGAACGCGGCGCACGCUGGCGAACAUGUCCUGCUCGUGUGUCACGGUGACAUUGGGAAGAUGCUUCAAGCCGCAAAAGCCAAGGUGGAGUGGCAGGAGGGACUUCGACUCCCCUAUUUUGCUAACACAGAGGUGAUUAAGCUAUAGCGUUAUCGUCGACUACGUUGUUCACAUGCGGCAGAUACGUAUGUGUGUUAGUUCAGGUGAGGGGGCGUAGUUGCUCUGCCCCCCUCCCCCCCCUCCCAGCCCUUCCCCACACAUACGCACUCGCAG
This 749-nucleotide unclassified non-coding RNA is filed under the name Leishmania donovani. Its description in RNAcentral is "gene:LdHU3.08.0080(CDS-product:phosphoglycerate_m utase_protein_putative)". Lineage: Eukaryota; Euglenozoa; Kinetoplastea; Trypanosomatida; Trypanosomatidae. The record is from RNAcentral.